GGGGAAUCUUCCGCAAUGGGCGAAAGCCUGACGGAGCAACGCCGCGUGAGGGAUGAAGGCCUCUGGGCUGUAAACCUCUUUUAUCAAGGAAGAAGAUCUGACGGUGCUUGAUGAAUAAGCCACGGCUAAUUCCGUGCCAGCAGCCGCGGUAAUACGGGAGUGGCAAGCGUUAUCCGGAAUUAUUGGGCGUAAAGCGUCCGCAGGCGGUCUUACAAGUCUGUCGUUAAAGCGUGGAGCUUAACUCCAUUUCAGCGAUGGAAACUGUAAGACUAGAGUGUGGUAGGGGUAGAGGGAAUUCCCGGUGUAGCGGUGAAAUGCGUAGAUAUCGGGAAGAGCACCAGUGGCGAAGGCGCUCUGCUGGGCCAUAACUGACGCUCAUGGACGAAAGCCAGGGGAGCGAAAGGGAUUAGAUACCCCUGUAGUC
RNAcentral lists this ribosomal RNA (424 nucleotides) under uncultured cyanobacterium. RNAcentral's name for it is "bacterial SSU rRNA". It matches the Rfam family "Bacterial small subunit ribosomal RNA", at positions 356 to 795 of the family's 1533-position model. Lineage: Bacteria; Bacillati; Cyanobacteriota. The record is from RNAcentral.